GGGAAGUCGCUCAAGUCGUGUCCGACCCUCAGCGACCCCAUGGACGGCAGCCUACCAGGCUCCUCCAUCCAUGGGAUUUUCCAGGCAGGAGUACUGGAGUGGGGUGUCAUUGCCUUCUCUGGAAAAACAAGACAGCAGGCCUCAAAUGGAGCCUCAUGCAAAGCCCCGCAUCCCAAUCCAGGACAAUCAUUACAGCUUGGCUCUCCCAGAAAUAGAAUCUCAAACCAGUCCACCAGGAAUUGCCUUAUCAGUGCUGGUUAAUCUGCCUGAUAGACCCCUCCCCUAAAGGAAAACAGCCUUGCCAUAACAAGCAUGCUGUUUUCCUAAUAGAACCUCAUUUCUGCUCCCUUCUGCCCACAAAAGUCUCUUUAUUUUGUACUUCCGCUUGGUGCUCCUUUCUAUCUCCUGGGAGGCAUGCUACCCAAUUGAACUGAUUUUUGCUUAAACAAGUUCCUAAAAAUUUUAAUAUUCCUCACUUUAUCUUUUAACCUUUCUGGUGUGAGAAGAGGGAACUGAAGGAGACCCCCCUCCUAAAGGCCCCCAGAAGCAAAAGCAACUAGACUUGGAUACCUGUUGAGCCCUUGAACUCUGCUUUCUUGCUGUCUCUGGAGUUGGUGAGUAAGUCCCUCUCAGAUUCUACUUCUGCAGCUUUUCCAAGAGAUUUCAGACUUUAUUUGAGCACAUCUUCUUGACUGUCCAGAAACUGGUCAGAGUGGGUCUGACUUAAAAAACUGGAUUGGGACUGGGAUUGGACUGGGUCAAGCUUAGAAACUGGACUGAAUCUAGAGUCAGACUGGUUCUGUUAAGUUGGACUGCAUACAGUAUGAGGCCUCAGGUAAUAAAAUUUUGUUUUAGGGCUGGACAAGCAGGCUAACUUUACCAAAGAUAAUCUUGAAUCACAGUGGCCACAGUGGAAAACUUGUAACCUAGAUAAUCUUAUCAAGUAUGAUGUGAUCUAGAAAACGGGGAGGGGGAUCUCAGCCAAGAACUCAUCACAAAGAUAGAGGGAAAAUGACUUUUCCUCCUGUAAAAGUUUAGAUGACCAGGAUGGGACCUACUGGAUCACACUGGUCACUCCAGAGCUUGCAGACAGGAUCCUAGAAAAACUGCCAGAAGCCAGCAAAGCCCUCUGAUUAGAGAUUGGCCAAAUGUGGAAGUUGAUGUUCAGAACCAGAUGGGAACUUUUUUAAGGCCUUUUCUUCUAAGCUGAAGUGAAACUAUAUCACCAGAGGGAAAGAAACAUUCUGAAGCCUUUGUGGAAGAAUUUACCUAUGCACUCCACAGACACAUAGCUCUAAAUCUGGAACAUAAGACCUUUUGAUCUUCAGCUUAGUUGAAGAUCUUCUCCUGAUGUAAAGAAGGGAAUUGAGGAUAACAUUGUUGGAUGGCUGAGAUGGCCUCCAUAUCAUUCAGAUUGCCACCUGAGAAACUGAACCCCAGUAUUCUUGCCGGGAGAACCCCAUGGACAGGGGAACCUGGCAGAAUGUAGUCCAUGGGGUCACAGAGAGUCAGACACGAAUAAAGUGACUAAGCAGCAGCAGCAGAACUUGUAGUAACUGUCUUACAGAUCAAGCCUUUUUAACAACAGAAAUGCUCUGGAAAUAAUUCAAAGCCUGCUUAUCCUUUCCACCAAUCCCCAAAUGUACCCUUUAAUGUAAAAAAUCUUGCAUAUAUUGUCAAUGUUCUGGACUUAAGGAACAAAAGUCUGUGGUGCAACUUCCAUUCUUUGUGCCUUUGAGAUGUAGGUAUUUACAGAGUCUCCUCUAGGAAGCAAGGGAAUUGUUAUCAGAAGAGAAAAAAAAAGAAAAGUUUAUUUUAAAAAUAAGAACUAUCAAAAAUCUUAAAAGUCUCUUUUACAAAUACUAGUAAAAUACUAUCUGAUCAGGUAAACUUAAUUUAUUUCAUCUUCCAGAAAUACACUGGACCUGUUUUUUUUUUUUAAUAAACUAGUGAGUUUCAUAUUAUAUCUUUCUUAUGUCUAAAAGUUUUAAAUUAAACUUAGAAGAGCUCUGCUUGUAUGUUUUUGUAUUUCUGUAUAUGGAUGCUAUAGAUGGUGAUGUGUUUGUGUCUCUGAAUGGUAUUUCCAAAAUUAUUUUUUUAAAAUUCUAUCUAAUUGGCUUAAAGAUGAACAAGCAUUAUACAGAUCAAGUAUACUCUCAGAAACAUAGACUAACCCCUAUGUUUUUCUAAAUUCAGGCAAUUGUACCUAGGUUUGAUAGAAGUGAAGUAAGGUUUUAUCAUAUCUGUUGUAAAUUUUUCAUUGAGAAAAAUAACUUUGUAUGUGUUAGGGACACUAAAAUGGAGGAAGUCUUGUUCAGGCUUCAGUAGCAGGAGAGGAGGUCUCUGACCUGGCUACCCACCUGCCUGGGCACUGCUUGGAUUCCAUGCUUGCCUGAAAGCACAGCAAAUCAGGCAGCACUUUAGAUAAGAGAGGGAGUGGGUCUUGGAAUUCUUGAGCCCUGGAAGUCUGGCCAACUGCUCAGGGCCUAACAUAAGCCUAUGACUCAUAAGCUGAAACAAAUAGCAUUGUAAAAAGACUAAAGUAAAACCCAGAGCUGCAUUUUUGUGCCCAAAAUGAUGAUAUCAGUUUGUGGCCUGGAAUGACAAGGGGGAGUCCCUGAAACUACAAUCUGAAGACUCACCCAUGGAGUGGACACCCUGCCCAGGACCUUUUCCCAAUUGGACUCUAGAUUGCUGUUAACAAGCGACUUACCAGGAUACUGUUUAAGUCCAGAUGUUGGUCAGCCCAAUUUGGUGAUGUAUGUGCCAUUACUCUUCUCUAUUGUUUCUCUUUUCUUGUAAUGAUUGUAUAUUGAAAUUAAAUUAAUCCUCUAUUAAAUAUUGAAAUUGUUUGUGUGUAAUGAGUGCUUUUUUUUGUUAACAAAUCCUUUGUACCUGAAACUAAACUUUCAGCCAAACAGUAUAAUGAUAUUUUAAUAAGUAAAUGAGAUAAGAGCUUUUGGGUGAACUCCUUAGGAAUAAUUAUAUAUUAGGAAUAUCUACUUAAAAAUAAUCUCUCAAACCUAUAAGGACCUAAUGUAUAGCAGAGAGAACUAUGCUCAAUUACUAUUAAUAACCUAUAAUGCAAGAAAACAAAUCACUUUACUGUUUCCCUGAAACUAGCACAACAAUGUAAAUCAAUUAUAUUUAAAUUAGAAAAAAAAAUUAAAAAGUCUCUCUAGAUUUUGGUAACUUGAAGAGUUGUGAUAAAUUAAAUGAUGAAAGUUUAUUGAUUAGGUCAUUCCAAAUAAAACAAUAUACUAAAACAUUAAUUACUGAACAUUGACUUCAUUUUACAAAGAAACUAAAGGUAUUUAGGAUGAUUAAUAAAUAAGUUUGGUGUCAAACUGAGAUAUUUUCUAUAAGAAAGCACAUGUUUUUAGAAAAUACUAUUGGUGUUUAUGUUUGCCAAUCUACAGAAUGCUAACAUAAAAGUUCAUAAUUGCUUAUUUCUUAGUUUUCACUAGAAAUUAAGAUUUUUAAGGGUUGAAUUUAAAUAUAUAAUUAAAGCUACUAGAAGCAGUAAGAAAAACAUUUCAGUAUACAGUAGCAAAGUAGGAUAUGUGUUUUCAAUAAAGGAAGGUAUGACAAAUGGAAUUGCAUUUUGUUAAAGGAAAAUGAAGUAAUUUUGUUUUAGAGUUGAUUGUUUCUUGAUGGGAAAAAAAAUUGAUGACAAACUAAUACAGAUACAGAAAGUGAUGGAAGGUUUGUGGUAAAGGAACCUUGAAUAAAAAGUUUUGUGCAUGGUAAAAACUGGCUGUUUAGAAUAAUUUAAUUGAGUACGUUUAAAAAGUAAGCUGGUGCAAAACCAGAAUUUGCUUUUUUUUCUGUGAAGAGGACAGCUUUCUUAAAAUAUUGACCUGUUUUUCAUAGCAGAUUGUAAAGUUCAUUUUACUUUUAACCAGGAGUCUGUUAUAACUUUCUUAUUUUGCCUUUGAAAUCUUUGGUUGUCCUUUUGCUUAAGUGAGUAAACAUUGAUUCACAGUGACCUAUGAUCUUGUUUGACCAAGUACUUUGAAACUUUUCCAUAUUUUGAUGACAAAUUUCCCAAAUCAAAUUCUAGUGUAGUUCCUUUGACCUCUAGCGAAGUUUUGGAUGCUUCAAAGGAGCACUGCAACAUUCUAAAGAAAUAUAAAUUAAGUAGGUUUAUUUGGUAUGUUAAAUUACAAGGGAAGUAUUGUCAAAUAAGUAAUAAAUCUUCUUAGGUUAUACUGUAUGAGUAAAUGUCAUUAGUCUAGAAAUUAUAUGGAAUCUCUAAGAAUCUGGUGUGUCCUGACAAAAUAUUAUCAGUCAUAAUUUUAGUCAUUUUUAAAAUGUUUUAUGCCACAGGAGUAAACAAAUUUCUUUUUCAGUUUCAUUGUAAGCAGGACUUUAACUGUGACUUCUUGUAUUUUGUCAUUCAUAGACAGUUACUGUUUUAUUCUGACACCUUUGCAAAAAUGGGUCCUCUUCAAGAAUAUUCUUAGCAAAGAUUUUUGGACAAGUACAAGAUUCUGAUAACUUUCAGAUCCAUACUGGUGAUCUGGGUUGAAAUUAAACAAUUCUAUUAGAAAACCUGAUGGCUUCAUAAAACUGUUAACAAAAGGACUAUUUAUAUAGGUCUAUGUGAACUGGGGAAUAAGGUUAUAAAUUUAUGGUUUCUAUUUAAAGUAUUACUAACAUUUUUCUUUUCCAGAUGAAAGACACUCUUCCCUUCAGAUAAUUAUGAGUUAGAGAAACUUGUUAAUUAUACCUUAUAAGCAGAAUUGAAAUAUUUAUCUUUUCUCUCUGCUUGAUCUUUCCAGAGAUGGGAAACUCUUAGGUUCCCAGCAACUUUAAAAAUCAAGCAAAUUAGGAAAGCCAUUUCCUAACAGGUGGAGGAAUUUCAAAGUGUUUUGUCUUUAAAAGGUAGGAAUUUACUCAUAUCUGUUGUUAACUCAGGUCAAAUUUGUCACAAGCCUUUGAUGUGGCUUUCCUGGCAGUAAGAGGCCUUUUGAUAAUUCAACCUGAAGUUCCUUAUAGCAAAGCCUUUUCCUUUCAGCAAAGCCAAUUUCAAAAGAGCCUGUAUAGUUACACUUGUAUAAAUCACCAGACCAAGUUUAUUGAAACCAGAAUUAAUUUGUAAACAAAUAAGUAUUACUUGGCUAUACUUGGUAGAAAUAAGGGUAAUUUUAGAGAGAAAAAGAUUAUAUUUCUGUGGAGAGUAAAUUCAAGUUUGUUCGCUGAGGUCUUUAUUUACUGAGUCACUUCCCAGAUAGCUCUUAGCUAUUACAUUGUUGUAAAUUUUAGUUGAAUUAUUAAAAGGAUAGUCUAGUUUGUUUCUGAAGUUUUCUCAUUAGUCUGUCUUUGGAUGAAGAUCAGAGGUCCCAACCUGCAACCAGGGGAUUAUACAUUCUGGGAAAGACAUCAUUUAAAGGACUAUCUUCAACCUAAAUGGAAGGACUCUCAUCAGGUACUCAUGGACAGUGAACCUAAAGGAAAUUGAUGCUUGGAUUACUAUUUCCACUUAGAGAGGGUCCCUGAAAUUAACUGAGCUAUACACAGGACUGCUGACUUCAAAAUCACCUUAAAACAAUGCUUACACAGAGGAGAAAGUAUCAGACCAGGAUGGUAAGAAAAAGUAGACAGCUGAUCCAAGAUUCCAAAGCAAGCUUGUACGCCAAUUACUUUGAUAAUUGCUCACACUUGCUUAUGAAAUAAACAUAUUUCAUGAUAUGUACAGAUAAAGUUAAUUGAAUUGUUGAGUUUAUACUCAAUCACCUAUUUCCAGUACUUCUGGAUUACCAUGGUGGAUUUCUCCAUUCAAGGCUCUAACUGAAUGACCUUAGGAAAUUAUUCUGGAAAGAAGAAGUUAUAACUCUGUUUGGGCCACUAUUGAUACUAAAAGAAGGGACUCCCUCACUUGGCCAAUCAAUCAUAGCUACUCUGACCAUUGCUAUGAACAUUAAAGACCCCUUCCCUUAUGUUGGGAAAAGUGCAAGUAAAUACUAAGUGUAACCAGCCAAAUAACAUGAAGAACUGUGACUGGCCUUAUGAACAGUUCCAGUAUAUCAUUUCCUUUAAAGGAAAGGAUCAGUAUAGAAUACACUACAUCAAACUGAUAUCGAAAGUACAAAAAAUAUAUAUAAGGAAAUAUACGGGGAUAUGAAAUAAUAAAUACUAAUAUUUGGAAAUAAACCUUUCUAACUGACUAAAUAAAGAAACCUAUGGAACUU
Molecule: long non-coding RNA, 6194 nt
Organism: Bubalus bubalis (water buffalo)
Lineage: Eukaryota; Metazoa; Chordata; Mammalia; Artiodactyla; Bovidae
Exons: 2
Source: RefSeq, a predicted model, not a curated record